RNAcentral lists this ribosomal RNA (497 nucleotides) under uncultured bacterium. RNAcentral's name for it is "partial 16S ribosomal RNA". It matches the Rfam family "Bacterial small subunit ribosomal RNA", at positions 28 to 507 of the family's 1533-position model. The record is from RNAcentral.
GAUGAACGCUGGCGGCGUGCCUAAUACAUGCAAGUCGAGCGAACAGAUGAGGAGCUUGCUCCUCUGACGUUAGCGGCGGACGGGUGAGUAACACGUGGAUAACCUACCUAUAAGACUGGGAUAACUUCGGGAAACCGGAGCUAAUACCGGAUAAUAUAUUGAACCGCAUGGUUCAAUAGUGAAUGACGGUUUUGCUGUCACUUAUAGAUGGAUCCGCGCCGCAUUAGCUAGUUGGUAAGGUAACGGCUUACCAAGGCAACGAUGCGUAGCCGACCUGAGAGGGUGAUCAGCCACACUGGAACUGAGACACGGUCCAGACUCCUACGGGAGGCAGCAGUAGGGAAUCUUCCGCAAUGGGCGAAAGCCUGACGGAGCAACGCCGCGUGAGUGAUGAAGGUCUUCGGAUCGUAAAACUCUGUUAUUAGGGAAGAACAACUGUGUAAGUAACUAUGCACGUCUUGACGGUACCUAAUCAGGAAGCAACGGCUAACUACGUG